This 492-nucleotide ribosomal RNA is filed under the name uncultured bacterium. Its description in RNAcentral is "partial 16S ribosomal RNA". It matches the Rfam family "Bacterial small subunit ribosomal RNA", at positions 29 to 507 of the family's 1533-position model. The record is from RNAcentral.
AGUGAACGCUGGCGGUAGGCCUAACACAUGCAAGUCGAACGGCAGCACAGUAAGAGCUUGCUCUUACGGGUGGCGAGUGGCGGACGGGUGAGGAAUACAUCGGAAUCUACUUUUUCGUGGGGGAUAACGUAGGGAAACUUACGCUAAUACCGCAUACGACCUACGGGUGAAAGCAGGGGAUCUUCGGACCUUGCGCGAUUGAAUGAGCCGAUGUCGGAUUAGCUAGUUGGCGGGGUAAAGGCCCACUAAGGCGACGAUCCGUAGCUGGUCUGAGAGGAUGAACAGCCACACUGGAACUGAGACACGGUCCAGACUCCUACGGGAGGCAGCAGUGGGGAAUAUUGGACAAUGGGCGCAAGCCUGAUCCAGCCAUACCGCGUGGGUGAAGAAGGCCUUCGGGUUGUAAAGCCCUUUUGUUGGGAAAGAAAAGCAGCAGGUUAAUACCCCGCUGUUCUGACGGUACCCAAAGAAUAAGCACCGGCUAACUUCGUG